Molecule: long non-coding RNA, 263 nt
Organism: Gymnogyps californianus (California condor)
Lineage: Eukaryota; Metazoa; Chordata; Aves; Accipitriformes; Cathartidae
Exons: 3
Source: RefSeq, a predicted model, not a curated record
UUCUGGUAUUUUCGUAGAGCUUCUUUUCCAACUGUUUGCAUUUAUUCGCAAGGGCUAUCAGGUUCCUGUGCUAAGAGAACCAGCCUUACCAAGCCUUCUGGGCCCCCAAGGACAAUCAGUACCCCCAACUGGUCAUCCAGUGAGGGCCAGUCCAGUUCGCUCAGCAGGUGGCAGACCAGGCUGGGAACUAAGUUCAAAUCGAGGACGCCCGCACAGUGAACGUACCCAAAGGACUCAGGCCCCAACACUACCAGCGUCAACAC